This 255-nucleotide ribosomal RNA is filed under the name uncultured bacterium. RNAcentral's name for it is "partial 16S ribosomal RNA". It matches the Rfam family "Bacterial small subunit ribosomal RNA", at positions 524 to 776 of the family's 1533-position model. The record is from RNAcentral.
UACGUAGGGCGCAAGCGUUAUCCGGAAUUAUUGGGCGUAAAGAGCUCGUAGGCGGUUUGUCGCGUCUGCCGUGAAAGUCCGGGGCUCAACUCCGGAUCUGCGGUGGGUACGGGCAGACUAGAGUGAUGUAGGGGGAGACUGGAAUUCCUGGUGUAGCGGUGAAAUGCGCAGAUAUCAGGAGGAACACCGAUGGCGAAGGCAGGUCUCUGGGCAUUAACUGACGCUGAGGAGCGAAAAGCGUGGGGAGCGAACAGG